AUUGAACGCUGGCGGCAGGCCUAACACAUGCAAGUCGAACGAGUGGCGGACGGGUGAGUAAUGUCUGGGAAACUGCCUGAUGGAGGGGGAUAACUACGGGAAAGGGUGGCAAAUACGGAAAACCACAGGAGGGCCCCAGAUGGGAUUAGCUAGUUGGUGGGGUAACGGCUCACCAAGGCGACGAUCCCUAGCUGGUCUGAGAGGAUGACCAGCCACACUGGAACUGAGACACGGUCCAGACUCCUCCGGGAGGCAGCAGUGGGGAAUAUUGCACAAUGGGCGCAAGCCUGAUGCAGCCAUGCCGCGUGUAUGAAGAAGGCCUUCGGGUUGUAAAGUACUUUCAGCGGGGAGGCGUUACCCGCAGAAGAAGCACCGGCUAACUCCGUGCCAGCCGCCGCGGUAAUAC
Molecule: ribosomal RNA, 406 nt
Filed under: uncultured bacterium
Lineage: Bacteria
Description: partial 16S ribosomal RNA
Rfam family: Bacterial small subunit ribosomal RNA
Source: RNAcentral